Molecule: non-coding RNA, 21 nt
Filed under: Caenorhabditis elegans
Lineage: Eukaryota; Metazoa; Nematoda; Chromadorea; Rhabditida; Rhabditidae
Source: RNAcentral
UAAAUAAUUGAAUAAGUUUUG